This 492-nucleotide ribosomal RNA is filed under the name uncultured bacterium. Its description in RNAcentral is "partial 16S ribosomal RNA". It matches the Rfam family "Bacterial small subunit ribosomal RNA", at positions 30 to 507 of the family's 1533-position model. The record is from RNAcentral.
AUUGAACGCUGGCGGUAGGCCUAACACAUGCCAGUCGAACGGCAGCACAGUAAGAGCUUGCUCUUACGGGUGGCGAGUGGCGGACGGGUGAGGAAUACAUCGGAGUCUACUUUUUCGUGGGUGAUAACGUAGGGAAACUUACGCUAAUACCGCAUACGACCUACGGGUGAAAGCAGGGGAUCUUCGGACCUUGCGCGAUUGAAUGAGCCGAUGUCGGAUUAGCUAGUUGGCGGGGUAAAGGCCCACCAAGGCGACGAUCCGUAGCUGGUCUGAGAGGAUGAUCAGCCACACUGGAACUGAGACACGGUCCAGACUCCUACGGGAGGCAGCAGUGGGGAAUAUUGGACAAUGGGCGAAAGCCUGAUCCAGCCAUACCGCGUGGGUGAAGAAGGCCUUCGGGUUGUAAAGCCCUUUUGUUGGGAAAGAAAAGCAGCAGGUUAAUACCCCGCUGUUCUGACGUUACCCAAAGAAUAAGCACCGGCUAACUUCGUG